Molecule: ribosomal RNA, 327 nt
Filed under: uncultured eukaryote
Lineage: Eukaryota
Description: partial 18S ribosomal RNA
Rfam family: Eukaryotic small subunit ribosomal RNA
Source: RNAcentral
CCCUUAGAUGAUCUGGGCCGCACACGCGCUACACUGAAGGAGGCAGCGUGUACUCCUGGAUCGAAAGAUUUGGGUAACCCGCGAAUCUCCUUCGUGCUAGGGAUUGAGGUUUGCAAUUAUCCUUCAUGAACGAGGAAUUCCCAGUAAGUGCAAGUCAUAAGCUUGCGCUGACUACGUCCCUGCCCUUUGUACACACCGCCCGUCGCUACUACCGAUUGAAUGAUUUAGUGAGGACUUCGGACUGGGACCGAUGCGGCUUUCGGGCUGCGUCGGUAUUCUGGAAAGAUGUCCAAACUGUAUCAUUUAGAGGAAGUAAAAGUCGUAACA